AUGCAAGUCAAGGAGAACGUUUUCUUCGGAAAGCAAGUAAACUGGCGAACGGGUUAGUAACGCGUAGGUAACCUGCCCUUAUGACUGGGAUAACUCCGUGAAAAUGGGGCUAAUACCGGAUAAUAUCUAUUUUCUUUGGAAUUUAGAUCAAAGUAGGCUUCGGCUUACACAUAUGGAUGGGCCUGCGUCUGAUCAGCUAGUUGGUAAGGUAAGAGCUUACCAAGGCAACGAUCAGUAGGUGGUUCGAGAGGAUGAUCACCAACACUGGGACUGAGAUACGGCCCAGACUCCUACGGGAGGCAGCAGUGAGGAAUUUUGCGCAAUGGGCGAAAGCUUGACGCAGCAACGCCGCGUGAUUGAAGAAGGUCUUAGGAUUGUAAAAAUCUGUCAUAGGGGAAGAAUGGUAUUUAUUCUAACAAAAUAUUUGUUUGACGGUACCCUAUAAGAAAGCUCCGGCUAACUUAGUGCCAGCAGCCGCGGUAAUACUAGGGGAGCAAGCGUUGUCCGGAUUUAUUGGGCGUAAAGAGCUCGUAGGCGGAUUUAUAAGUCGAAAUUGAAAUACAAUGGCUUAACCAUUGGCACGGUUUCGAUACUGUAAAUCUUGAAUUAUGCAGAGGUAAGCGGAAUUCCUGGUGUAGCGGUGAAAUGCGUAGAUAUCAGGAGGAACACCAAAGGCGAAGGCAACUUACUGGGCAUUGAUUGACGCUGAGGAACGAAAGCGUGGGUAGCAAACAGGAUUAGAGACCCUGGUAGUCCACGCCGUAAACGAUGAGCACUUGGUGGUGGAAGAUUCGACCCUUUCACUGUCGGAGUUAACGCGUUAAGUGCUCCGCCUGGGGACUACGGCCGCAAGGCUGAAACUCAAAGGAAUUGACGGGGACCCGCACAAGCGGUGGAUUAUGUGGUUUAAUUCGAUGCAACGCGAAGAACCUUACCUGGAUUUGACAUGUUAGUGAUCGAUUUGUGAAAGCAAAUUUUUUCU
Molecule: ribosomal RNA, 982 nt
Filed under: uncultured marine bacterium
Lineage: Bacteria
Description: bacterial SSU rRNA
Rfam family: Bacterial small subunit ribosomal RNA
Source: RNAcentral